RNAcentral lists this long non-coding RNA (254 nucleotides) under Mytilus galloprovincialis (Mediterranean mussel). Lineage: Eukaryota; Metazoa; Mollusca; Bivalvia; Mytilida; Mytilidae. The record is from RNAcentral.
GUAAUUGUCGAUCCCAAACAGCAUGAAACUCUUUAAUUGCAAGAAGUCCCGGAUAAAAGCACACCAUCAAGUCUAGUAACUUACAAUAAAGACUUAGCAAACAAGGUUGAGUAAAGAACUCAACAAGUCUUCCAACCAUUCGUAGCUUGUCCAGAGAAAACAACUGCUUCUCAGACCACCAACACGAAUGACGACCUCUUUGCGAUCUUACCGCUACAUGCAUUGGCUUCUCCAACAUCUGAUUUGCAGAUGCA